CGUUGAAUCCGAAGCCGAACCAGCGCAUUCCUACUGCCAGUGACACAGUCCCAGGAAAAACGGAGUCCACAUGCUGCAGCUUCCUGCGAAGACUAAUCAACCUGCCUGCGUGGCGGCCAUGUUAGCAGGGGCGAGAACAUCAGAACUUCAUUGGAAUUGGGGUAAAGGCAGCGACACUGCUGUGGCCACACGUGUUGCACCCUUCGGUGGCCACAGCAACGUGAAGCAUGGCCCACGGAAUUACAAUGCAGGCAAAGGAGAGACAAUUUUGCCUGUCAUUAUGCCAGGGCCCAGAGACUGCCUGGCUGCAGCGGGGUAACUCUCUGCAGCCUAUGAGAACGUAUGUUCAUAGCUGGGAAUAUUCCUCUUGUGGCUAAAGUGCCGAGCAAAAGCUGUCUUAGGAGGUCUUGGAAUGCUUUAUUUUUGGGUUCAAGCUGGGCACACCGCUGCACAUCUACAAAGGCCUGGUCAAGACGUCCAAGUUUCUGAAAAGCCUGAGCCCUCCGAAA
Molecule: long non-coding RNA, 509 nt
Organism: Syngnathoides biaculeatus (alligator pipefish)
Lineage: Eukaryota; Metazoa; Chordata; Actinopteri; Syngnathiformes; Syngnathidae
Exons: 3
Source: RefSeq, a predicted model, not a curated record